Molecule: long non-coding RNA, 2604 nt
Organism: Oreochromis niloticus (Nile tilapia)
Lineage: Eukaryota; Metazoa; Chordata; Actinopteri; Cichliformes; Cichlidae
Source: Ensembl
CACAGUGCAACUCCAAGAUGAACCAAAUAACAAUUAACAGUUUGUAAUGUAGCAGAUGUGCAUCUAUUUUUUUUAUUUUGCUUCCGAUUUUCCUCCCUAAGGGCAGAAAAUUUAUGUUUAACCAAAUCAAGGAAAAAGGCACAUGAAUUUACUCAGGGUGUAGUAGAUUUUUUUUAUUUUCUUUUGGAGGUGGGGGGUACAUGCAAACAUGCAGUAUCACUUGCAACCCCCUUUACUACUUUACCAAUUACUCAAAACUCCUAACCUAAAUCAGACAGCAGACUGGUGACUUUGACAUUUUAAAGUGCACAUCUAAUAAUGGAACAAACAUCACUGGAUAUUAGACACCGAUUUUAAAACAAGUAUAGAGACCUCAGUCAUGCCUCAGUCAAACUUGUUGAUUCUGCAGAACUGAGUGGUUUUGUUGAGGUUUUGUUUCUUGAGGUUUUGUUUGGUUUCUCUUUUUCUUUCAAUUUUACAACAUGGAGAUGUCAGGCUAGUUCUGUCUCAGGUUUCCACCUGAAGGCAGAGUUUCGCAAUGUGGGUCAACACCUCCUCACCUGUUGGUAGUUGAUUCAACAGGCUUCAAGUGUAAGAAGGACAGGCCACAGUUCCCUAACCGACUGUUCCCAUUAAACUGGUGACUCUAGGGCACUAUCAGUCUUGUUUGAUCUCAUCCUUUUAUUCUUCUGCCCUUCUUAGCUGCUCAUUUGAGAGCCCCAUUUGGAGCAUGCUGGCUUGAGAAUCAACUUUCUUGCAAUCUGGUAACAACUCAAGCUGUUUUGUGUCUCUUCCUCACUGCUACCUGGACCUCUGGAUGUCUGCGACCCAGACUCAACCUGCCUGCCCGCUCUCCACCUGCUCUCCAAGGAAACCCACCUGCACCUACUUCCUCCAUAUUCUGCCACUCCACAGCCUCAAGGUUAGGCUUCCAGUAUCUGCGGGGAGGAAGACAACAACCACAUAUGUACAGGUUAACAAAAAACCGUGCUCUCUGUCAGCAGUACCACCACAUGGAGGAGAAAAACAAUCUAACAAUGAAUGAAGAGUUAGGGUUAAGUACUGUUGAUAACUAGAGGUUAGAAGCUCUCCCUCGGCCACGCCUACUCCUGAAAAAGAGGUCAGUGCAAUACACACACACACACCUUUACACACACACAUGCAUGCAACUGAUAGAACAUAGAGGUAGAGUAAAUAGAGGGAGGCAGUGACAGUGUUAUUGCUUAGAUCUUAAGACAUUUCGUUUCCUAGACCUAUUUGUCUUUCCACUUGUACAUUUUAUUGCUUCUUUUCUGCCUUAAACUAAACCCAACCACAAAGCAAAUACUAAAAAAAAGAAUAACAGCCUGGUACUAAUAGGAAAACCGAAGUAGGUUUGCUCAUAACCAUUCUUCCUGUUUAUAUGGUCAGGGAUUCUUUCACUUUAAUGCAACUUUAAAGUGAAUGAUUGGGGUGGGCAAUAUGCAGAAAUAAGGAGUAAUUAAUUUUGUGUCAGAUCUAUAAUAAAGCCUUGGUCUGAUUUAACAUUUCUUAUUCUUGAGCUAGUUUCCACCAUUUUUCUUCCUUUCAUUAUGUUCCUUUUUAUCCAGGUUUCACAUCCACCAAUUGGUGGUGGUGCCUUCCUCCAGAAUAGAAAGGCAUCACUUGAAGAAAGCCUAUUAAAGGACAAUGCUAGAGUGUCUCUCUGAUUCUUAAGUGUCAAUAAAAAUUCUCCAGUCUAGUUCAAAGCAUACCACAACCUCCUUAAAUUGGCACCACUCUCACACUGUUUUCAUCUGCUGUAACAUGAAAGUCUUGUGAUCUUAUACAAGAACACGAAUCAUUGUGUAACCAGGCCAGGUAUUUGAGGCCAUGCCUGCCUUACAUGGUCCUGAGGGUCUGGGAUUUUUACCCAUGAUAGGCAAACCAUUCGUCCAUACUUGACCAUACUUUUAAAAGCCAUGGCUCUAAACUGUUGGUUGUCUCACCUUGACACGUGAGUUUUUUAUGCCACCCUAAAUCAUUGAAUCACUCUUUUACAUUCAGCCCUGGAAAUAGAAAAGUAAACAUUAAAUAUAUAUAAAUAUAAAGUGCCAAGAUCUUUCUUUUUUUUGAUUGCAUUUUAUUGCGCUUGCUAUCCUGGCUGGAUUAGAUAAGUUUAUUUAGAAGAGAUGCACAUUUUGCAGCAUUUUCAGAUUAGUAUCUCUGAGAAAUAACUUGGUUGACCAAAUGUAGUUUAAGGAGCUGUUUUGCCAACGCUACACUGUAAUUUUUAAUAUUUUUCAUCCACCUAGAGAUUUUGACAGUCAACCAUGUCACACAGUGCUCAAACCCUUUAAUUUAGCUGCGAUAAAAAAGAAAAAAUCAGUUUCUAGUUUUGUCCUGAUUUUUCCUAGCACAUUAAAAGCUGUAGUCCAAACAGGACAGCUGCUACAAACAUGUUUAUUUGUAGAAUAUGUUGUACUACAAGAGAUUAAACAGAAAAUAAAAUAAAGUGAACUCAAGCUUGAACAUGUGCAGCAGCGCUGAUGGGGAACAUUUUCUGCUGAAUCAUUACUUUUGGUGCUGUUACAAACUGUGUUGUAGUGUUGGCAUCAUGGACAGGCUUUGGGGGUUCAGGCCCAC